This 469-nucleotide long non-coding RNA is filed under the name Selaginella moellendorffii. RNAcentral's name for it is "long non-coding RNA (SMOE_LNC000971)". Lineage: Eukaryota; Viridiplantae; Streptophyta; Lycopodiopsida; Selaginellales; Selaginellaceae. The record is from RNAcentral.
UCCACGCUCGCUUGGCAUGCUCUUCGUACUCCAUGAUACUCUGAAAUCAAGAUAGGAACGGAAGCUCUCGCCCGUCUCACUAGGAUCUUGUGAUUGCUUUCGCUUUUGCAAAUAACAAUCUUGCAGGUCUUCAAAAUGUGCACCACACACAGAGGAAGUUGGCCGACUGUUACAAUCAAGAAAUCCAAGGAGCAUACCUGAGAAAGCACUCGCCUCUUUUUCGAAAGAACCUCACUUUCUCUCACUCCAGACGUUCCCUCGUCAUCAGUUUGCGCUCGCUUAAGACGAGCUUUUUCUCCAUCCGGGGAGCUCCCUUCCGCUUCGGACGCCUUGACACGACAGCGAGAGCUAGGAAGCUUUUGGUGAACAGGCGACGCAUGACGUUCUUUGGAUUUCUUCAAACUAGUCGCCUGCUUUUCAACAGCAGCAAUGUCUUCCUUGAGCCAUUGCAGGUCUGUUUGUAUCUGAA